Molecule: non-coding RNA, 98 nt
Organism: Ruminiclostridium sp.
Lineage: Bacteria; Bacillati; Bacillota; Clostridia; Eubacteriales; Oscillospiraceae
Rfam family: Bacterial small signal recognition particle RNA
About the family: The signal recognition particle (SRP) is a universally conserved ribonucleoprotein involved in the co-translational targeting of proteins to membranes.
Source: Rfam
GGACAGGUCUGCGCGGCGGAGAGCCGUGAACCAUGUCAGGCGGGGAACCGAGCAGCAUUAAGCGGAUGUUUCCGGGCGAUGCAGGUCGCCUGUCCGCU